UGAUAAAAUAUCUUCUUACUUUAAUUAUUUAAUUUUUUUGUGGGAGAAGUAACUUUGUUUUUAGUAAUAUUUUUGAAAAAAUACUUUUAGUUAUAGUUAAUUAGUACUGUAAAGUGAUUAUGAAAUAUUUUGAAAUAUUUAUUUUAACAAAAGUAUAUUUUGUUUAUAGUACCUUUUGUAUCAGGGCUGAUCUAUUUUAUUUAAUUUAUUUUUUUUUCUCGAUUUUAUAAGAGCUGAUUUAUUAUUACGGUUAGUGUGGCAUAACUAUCUUAAAUAUUUAUCUGGAAAGAUAUUUUAUUCGUUUAUAAGGGUAUCUGGUUUUUUAGGAUUCAAAUUUAAUUUGAACUUAUUUUUUUAUGUUUUAUUAUUUAAAUUUAUAUUAAUUAAGAUUAUAAUUGUAGGGGAUAAUCUCUACUUUUUUCUAAAAAAUUCAUUUUUAAUAAGUUUGGUAGGAUUAAUAUCAUCCAUCUUCAGAUCACGUCAUAGUUUCUCUUAUUAUUUAUUGAUUUUUUCUAAUUUUAGUAUUACACUAAAAUGUUUUGUUUAAUUAUUUCUCAUUAUUAAUAAUGAUUAAAUUAGUAUAUAAUUAUUGUUUAUUCUAUUAUUUUAUGUAUUCUUUUAUUAAGGAACUCGGCAACUAUAGUUCUCGCCUGUUUAUCAAAAACAUGUCCUCUUUGAUUUUAUAUGAGGUCUUACCUGCCCAGUGAUGUUUUAACGGCCGCGGUAUUUUGACCGUGCAAAGGUAGCAUAAUCAUUAGUCUUUUAAUAGGAGGCUGGAAUGAAAGGUUUGACGAAGUACUAUCUGUCUCGAUAAAAUAGUUUUGAAUUUAGCUUUUGAGUUAAAAGGCUCAAAUUUCUUUGAAGGACGAGAAGACCCUAUAGAGCUUUAAGGCUUAUUUCUAUUAAUUUUAUUUAUUUUAUUUUUUAUAUUAUUGUUUUGGUCUUUUUGUUGGGGUGACAAGAUAUAUAUAUUUAACUUUUUUAUUUAUUGAUCAUUUAUUUAUGUUUAUUAGAUCCUUUAUUAUUGACUAUUAGAAUAAGUUACCUUAGGGAUAACAGCGUAAUCUUCUCCCAGAGUUCAAAUUUACGAGAAGGCUUGCGACCUCGAUGUUGGAUUAAGAUAAUAUUCAGGUGUAGCAGCCUGACUUAUAGGUCUGUUCGACCUUUAAAUUCUUACAUGAUCUGAGUUCAGACCGGUUUAAGCCAGGUCGGUUUCUAUCCUCAAAAUUUUUGUAAUUUUUAGUACGAAAGGACCAUUUUUACAAGAUAUUCUUUUAUUUUGAUUAUUAUUA
Molecule: ribosomal RNA, 1292 nt
Filed under: Neurobasis chinensis
Lineage: Eukaryota; Metazoa; Arthropoda; Insecta; Odonata; Calopterygidae
Description: 16S ribosomal RNA
Rfam family: Archaeal large subunit ribosomal RNA (bases 859-1225)
Source: RNAcentral